This 120-nucleotide non-coding RNA is filed under the name Labrenzia sp. Its description in RNAcentral is "TPP sequence". It matches the Rfam family "TPP riboswitch aptamer (THI element)". Rfam says of the family: Vitamin B(1) in its active form thiamin pyrophosphate (TPP) is an essential coenzyme that is synthesised by coupling of pyrimidine and thiazole moieties in bacteria. The previously detected thiamin-regulatory element, thi box was extended, resulting in a new, highly conserved RNA secondary structure, the THI element, which is widely distributed in eubacteria and also occurs in some archaea. Analysis of operon structures identified a large number of new candidate thiamin-regulated genes, mostly transporters, in various prokaryotic organisms. The record is from RNAcentral. Lineage: Bacteria; Pseudomonadati; Pseudomonadota; Alphaproteobacteria; Hyphomicrobiales; Stappiaceae.
AAACCACACCCGGGGUGCCCCACGAGGGGCUGAGAUGCUGCAGAGCGCAAUGCGCAGCGCAGGGACCCGACGAACCUGAUCCAGGUCAUGCUGGCGAAGGGAAGGUGCCUGCGAUCCGUC